This is a long non-coding RNA of Humulus lupulus (European hop), 1630 nucleotides long. RefSeq lists it as uncharacterized. The transcript has 2 exons. NCBI's taxonomy places the organism in Eukaryota, Viridiplantae, Streptophyta, Magnoliopsida, Rosales, Cannabaceae. The record is from RefSeq and is a predicted model, not a curated record.
CAAGACUUUUUCAGGUUGAAAAGUCAAUUAUGGGAGGAAAAAAAAAAUUUAAAUCAUAUAUUUGAUUGUUUUCCUUUUCUUCUCCCUCCCUCCCGAACCUUUCUCUUUCUUCUUCUUCUCUCUUUUUUUUUCUUUUUCUUUUCCUUCCUUUGUUUUCUCUCCAAACCAGCCACGGCAAGCUUCAGACCAGCCACCGUCGGAGCUCCAUUUCUGAUACGCGCUGGAGCUGCAGCUUCCCUGACCGGCGAUGACGGAAACCCCAAAGUUUGGUGACCAUUGGAGCAAGGACGCGCCUGUACGGCCACUCCGAAGUUUCGCCGUCGAAACUUUGAGGUGACUUUCCGGCGAACUCCGACCACCGUUCGGCGAAUGGGUGGUACCAUUGGAAUCAGCAUCGUGAAAGGAUCGUCGCCCACUAAGUCAUCCCGGUCAACUCGCCACUUUUCUCCGGCGAGAUUUUGGGUAUCUUCGCCCCUUUGGAAGCAUUUUCUGGCGACACCGGAGGUCAUUUGGACGAAGGAGCUGUACUUUUGUGAUGUACUCAUCGAGAGGAUCGUUUUGAUAUAUGCUAUGCAUAUAUUCGUCGAUGUUUCCGGUACUGCCACCAACCGCUAUAGUGCACCGCUUGGGAAAAGCGUGAUAUUAAAAUCAGACUAAAUCAUUCUAAGAUCGUCGAUAAGCUUAGGAGCGUUGCUUUGGGCUCGGAUUAAAUUCUAAAGAGGUAGGGACUCAACUAGACUAUUGGACUUAUUUUACUCGUAUUAAAUUGCAUUCAACAUAUUCCAAUUUUGAUAUUUAUAAAAUGUUUGAAAAAUUGAAAACUUAACCUGCAUGUUUUCUGAUCUGUUCUGAGGGCACCGAGUGCCAAAUAUAUAUUUUUUUUCACUUAUUUAUGCAGGUUAUGAUUUUUGGGUUUAUUCAAAUGUAGCUGUUAUGCUGCCCAAUUUUCUAAAAUAUAAAGGGAGUAUGUUUGUUUCUUUUAAUGUUUACCUGCAUUUGGUUAUACUGAUGAGAGCCAUAGUGGUCAUGAUUGGUGCACGUUGUUGUUUCACGACCUAGUCUCUGUGUCAUCAUAGGUAGAUCAGGUGUCCACUCACCUGUAGGUGUAAAGACCUAGUAUCUGUAUACAGGAAGUGUUCUGAGCAUCCCCCUUGUGGUGGUUAUCAGGUCCGGCUACCCGGUUUAGGAUGUCGGAUUUUCUAUGGUGGGUAACGGGAACUAGGGAUCUAGUGGACGGUGUGAUGUGCACUUGUAGCUAUGCUCUUAUGAUUAUUUGUGGUCUCUCUAUUUUGGUUUAUACAUGAUGAUGUAUGUUUUGUUUUAAAAAGCUAACCAUGCAGGGGUUUUUAUUGAACUUUUGAGUCCGAUGUUGUUAGUUGCUUUCCUACUGGGCUUUAUAAGCUCACCCCUAUCUCUCCCAUUCCAGGAGCCUAGUGAAGCGAACGUAGAAAAGUAUGAAUUGUUGCUGAAGCCAAGGUGUUUAGAGCCACAGUCCUAUCUUUUGAACAUUGUAUGUAUUUAAUUUGGAACCUAUCGGUCUGUACAUCUAAAUUAGCUAUGUCUUAGUUAGGAAUGAGGAAUGGUGGAUGCUAAGUAUUAUUUUGGAUAUUUUAUGACUUAUUAAAUUUAA